UGCAGUUAAAAAGCUCGUAGUCGGAUUUUGGCAUCACGCCGAACUGUCAGCCGAUCGGUUUGUACGGUUUGGCGGGUGCUCUCCUUCCGGAAGCUCGUUCCCUUCUUAGUUGACGGGUUCGAUGGUUCCGGGUCUUUUACUUUGAAAAAAUUAGAGUGUUCAAAGCAGGCCUAUGCUCUGAAUAGGUUAGCAUGGAAUAAUAGAAUAGGACUUUGGUUCUAUUUUGUUGGUUUCUAGGACCGAAGUAAUGAUUAAUAGGGAUAGUUGGGGGCAUUAGUAUUUAAUUGUCAGAGGUGAAAUUCUCGGAUUUGUUAAAGACUAACUUAUGCGAAAGCAUUUGCCAAGGAUGUUUUCAUUAAUCAAGAACGAAAGUUAGGGGAUCGAAGACGAUCAGAUACCGUCGUAGUCUUAACCAUAAACUAUGCCGACUAGGGAUCUGGAGGCGUUAUUUUAUACGACCCUUCAGGCACCUUAUGAGAAAUCAAAGUCUAUGGGUUCCGGGGGGAGUAUGGUCGCAAGGCUGAAACU
Molecule: ribosomal RNA, 528 nt
Filed under: uncultured marine eukaryote
Lineage: Eukaryota
Description: bacterial SSU rRNA
Rfam family: Eukaryotic small subunit ribosomal RNA
Source: RNAcentral